UAGCUAGUUGGUGAGGUAACGGCCCACCAAGGCGACGAUCGGUAGCCGGACUGAGAGGUUGAACGGCCACAUUGGGACUGAGACACGGCCCAGACUCCUACGGGAGGCAGCAGUGGGGAAUAUUGCACAAUGGGGGAAACCCUGAUGCAGCGACGCCGCGUGGAGGAAGAAGGUCUUCGGAUUGUAAACUCCUGUUGUUGGGGAAGAUAAUGACGGUACCCAACAAGGAAGUGACGGCUAACUACGUGCCAGCAGCCGCGGUAAAACGUAGGUCACAAGCGUUGUCCGGAAUUACUGGGUGUAAAGGGAGCGCAGGCGGGAAGACAAGUUGGAAGUGAAAUCUAUGGGCUCAACCCAUAAACUGCUUUCAAAACUGUUUUUCUUGAGUAGUGCAGAGGUAGGCGGAAUUCCCGGUGUAGCGGUGGAAUGCGUAGAUAUCGGGAGGAACACCAGUGGCGAAGGCGGCCUACUGGGCACCAACUGACGCUGAGGCUCGAAAGUGUGGGUAGCAAACAGGAUUAGAUACCCUGGUAGUCCACACCGUAAACGAUGAUUACUAGGUGUUGGAGGAUUGACCCCUUCAGUGCCGCAGUUAACACAAUAAGUAAUCCACCUGGGGAGUACGACCGCAAGGUUGAAACUCAAAGGAAUUGACGGGGGCCCGCACAAGCAGUGGAGUAUGUGGUUUAAUUCGACGCAACGCGAAGAACCUUACCAAGUCUUGACAUCCCUUGACAGACAUAGAGAUAUGUAAUCUCUUCGGAGCAAGGAGACAGGUGGUGCAUGGUUGUCGUCAGCUCGUGUCGUGAGAUGUUGGGUUAAGUCCCGCAACGAGCGCAACCCUUAUGGUCAGUUACUACGCAAGAGGACUCUGGCCAGACUGCCGUUGACAAAACGGAGGAAGGUGGGGAUGACGUCAAAUCAUCAUGCCCUUUAUGACUUGGGCUACACACGUACUACAAUGGCGUUAAACAAAGAGAAGCAAGACCGCGAGGUGGAGCAAAACUCAGAAACAACGUCCCAGUUCGGACUGCAGGCUGCAACUCGCCUGCACGAAGUCGGAAUUGCUAGUAAUCGUGGAUCAGCAUGCCACGGUGAAUACGUUCCCGGGCCUUGUACACACCGCCCGUCACACCAUGAGAGCCGGGGGGACCCGAAGUCGGUAGUCUAACCGCAAGGAGGACGCCGCCGAAGGUAAAACUGGUGAUUGGGGUGAAGUCGUAACAAGGUAACCGUACUAGUACGGCUGAGU
RNAcentral lists this ribosomal RNA (1252 nucleotides) under metagenome. RNAcentral describes it as "bacterial SSU rRNA". It matches the Rfam family "Bacterial small subunit ribosomal RNA", at positions 242 to 1520 of the family's 1533-position model. The record is from RNAcentral.